This is a long non-coding RNA of Mercenaria mercenaria, 3710 nucleotides long. RefSeq lists it as uncharacterized. Lineage: Eukaryota; Metazoa; Mollusca; Bivalvia; Venerida; Veneridae. The record is from RefSeq and is a predicted model, not a curated record. The transcript has 3 exons.
GUUCGUUAUAAUGUAAAUAAAAAGGCAUGAAGCAAAGCAGUACUUAGUCGUUCUUUGCGUUAGCCUGGACCUUCUAAUCUAGGUUACUACGCUCAAAUCAAACAAGAAAUAUUAUAAAGGCGAAGUAUAAAUAUAAUCGUAUAAAAAUAGUGUAACAAAUUCGGUUAAGUUCAAAACAAAUUUAAAAGUGGAUCAAAUCUUAUUACUGCGCAAUUAAAGUGUACCGAAAAAGAUAAAAUUAGACACUGUCCUUAAAGUGUGUCUUCAAGUCAUGCUUAGUACGGAACGGACUUUUGUACUUUCCUACCGGUAAUUCUGCUACUGUGUAGAAUAUAUAUUCAAAGGAUUACUUCUUGAUAGGAUUUAUAGGAGAUAUAUUCAAAGGCACCAUCUUUCGAAGGAGAAGAAACUUAAGAUGAAGAAAAUUUUUGAUAGAUCUCUAAUGGAUAAAUUCAAAAAGAAGAUGAAAUAGUCGAAAACGGAAUACAGUUCUUUGUUGUAGAAUUAUGUGCAAAAUGUGCUUAGUAUACGAGACAACUUUACAACAAGGAUACCGUUUCUGUUUAAAUGCAAGGUCAUGCAAAAACUGGAAGAGAAAUUGUACUACAUCAGUUCUCGUGAUUUGAAUAUGCUUAUCUUGGCAUAAAUCAUUUGUAUAUAAGGACACAAAAUAUGCAGAGUUUGGAAACAAAAAUACACAACACAGAGCCAUGUGAAUGGAGCAGCUUUGUUCGAUUCGAUUUUUAUCGAUAUAAGGAAAAACGAAGGUUUCUUUUAUGUCCUGAUAAGCCACUGUAGUUUCUAAAGUUGAACGGAAUUGUUUCUUAUGUCUAAAGGACAUUGUUAUAGCCAUCGAGGCCGAUAAAACAAGCCUGAUUGUAAAACGGAUCAGUUCUGAAACGAUCUGUAACAAAGCCACAAAUGUUUCUGCAAUAUCAGAAGGAGGAUGUUUCGUUGUUAAGAAAAAUCUGUGUGAUAGCAACCAAAGUCAAGAAAAAAUACUAAUUAUUAAGAUUGGUGAACGAAUUAGAUAUUUUUCUGCCGUACAUUGUAUUUAAGUUUUCUACCAUGUUCGAAUGAUAAAAUAGGCUCAAAACUUUAUAAAACAUAAUUUGAAUUAAAAAUUUGUCUCUUGUCGGAAAACAAAUUAUUAAUCCAUGGUCGUGGGUUCGCUCACAGGCGGUGUUAUACCCAAUACAUGAAAUGGAAUGGUACUAAUAGCCUCCUCAGUCGAUGCGAAGUAUUAAGAGGAUAAUUCUAGGACUGGUCAGCUAAGUGACAGUAUAAUGUGAUCGGGUGGGGAAUCAUGUAACAACGUGUCUACGGCUUGAUAAACCAGCGGGGCAGCACUAUAAAGUUGGGAAUUGUGCUCAUACUAUAAGUAGAAAUCUUCGUUUAUAAAGUUGUUUGAAAAGACAAUAACCCCAUCCCCCACCACCCACAAUAAAAUCACACACUCCUCUGCUUCAAACAAGAAUAGCCAUCUGAAUCAAGGAAGGAAAUCAUCUCGAAAUCUUGAAAAAAAAAACUUUUAAGAAUUAUUUUAUAUGAAAUGAUAAAACAUACGGGUCGGCGAGCCGGAUAGAGCUUUUCUAACGAAGCAAUGCUGAAAAAGAAGAAGAAAAUGAUGCAUGCUACAAACGAACAUCUCUCUUACUGGAUACCUAUCGGUAUAAAAAAUAAUCCCAAGAGAUCUUUAGAAAAUGACACAUAUUCAAUAAAAGAUCAACUACUUCUAACAACUAUUUCUAUAAAAGCAACUUUGCAGUCUUAAACAUUCCGGUUUUGCUUCAAGCAAAAAGUAUUUUUCAGAAUUAUUGAUGCCCAAACUGCUAAAGCAUUUUAUAGAUGUAUCCAAUAACAAAACAUUCAGUUCAACAGAUUCAGAGGAAAAAUAAAGAGAGCCACAUGUUGUAUUUUAGGAUAGAAAACAAAGAGUCAAGAAUCUUAGAUAUGAGGAUAACGCACGCUAAGAUUUUUUAACAUAUUCUGUUGAAGAAUGGAAUGCAACCUAGAAAUCUUUUAGAUCAUAUUCAUCAUCACGUCAUCAUAGUCAGUGAUCGCCACAUUCCAGAAGAGUAUACUCGCGAUUGACGUGGAAUACAGUUCAUGCACAGCUUAGGCGAUGACUAUUUACAUAUAAAAAUGUCCCGUUACGUAAACAAAUAAAACGAACUUUGGCGCUUUACGUGAACGAGUGUUGGCCUGAUCAGUCCUAAAGCGAAGAUUGGUUUACGUCGUGUUGAGUCGUUCGGUGGUAGCAAAGAACAAAAGCGGUAGGAGAGAAACUAUAUUGAGAAGCAGAACUGCUGCAGGAGAUUUGGUUUACUCUUGAUCGAGAAUUCUAGCAGGUUGCAGUAGAGAAGGAUCUGGAUUGGACCAGCAUGGCUGUACAUUAUUGUGUUUAUCAUGGAGGCUUUGGACAUAAUACAUCUGUAUUGUAUUGUAAUGGAGCGUAUCAUAAACUGAGCUUAUCCUGUACGAACCUUGCAUCUCUGCGCUCUACCUGAUUCAUGAUGUUGCUUAUGAGAUACUCAUUUCUGGAACGGAUUUAGUAUUGUUUAUGUUGCUUUAUUACUGGAUGGACUUGAACAAAACUUUCUGCAGAUGAAUGCCAUAGAAUGGUAUUCGAUGUGAGGCCGUGUGUGAGAAGAUCAGGUUUGUUCACACGGGCAGCUACCCUCAGUGUUACAGCAUACUGAGCGAAACAGUUAUUGAAUUGAACCUUGGUGCCAGCAUCUGCCUAAGCUUAGCUAUAAUAGUACAACCAAAAAGGUUUCUACACACAUUUGUUGGUCUUCCAUAAGGUUCACGAACUAACAAUUCUGAGUGAUGACUUCUAGCAACCUUGUAAAACCAUAUCAAUAACAACCUCUAUCUUGUAAUGAACAUUGAUUCUGACUAUCAGAAAGGGAGACGAAACAUUUAAGGCACGAGAAAGACAUUAAGGCACACAAACAAAAGAUAAAAGAAAAUGAUUCUUUUACAAAAGAAAGAGGAGGAAACGCGAUUGCAAUUAUUCAAAGGAAGACAUGAAUAAUACUACAAGAAGUAGUGCAACCACACCUAUGUAAAACUGCAACAUAAGAAUAUCAGAGGUAAAAGCCAGAAGUUAUGUCUCAGAGAGGAUCGAAAGGAAAACUGAAAUGAUCUGUUAAGACCUAUUUUUGAAGGUUAUGGUGCAUCUUGAAGUUUAAUCUAAGAAUUUAAAAAUUUGUCAUAGUGAUAUCUUUUGAAAGCGUUAGUACGUUGCAAUUCAUAACUAACAAGUAGAUUGCAAUGAAAAUCUCAACAAAUAUAGCAUCGGACAUGAUGAUAAAGACAGACAUGACUUUUUAAAAAGUUUGUCUAUUACUAUACCUUUAAUGCUUACAAAAUACACUGAAUAAAAAUUAAUGCAACUUAACGUCAGAGGACAAGCAAUCAUCAGAUGAAUGACUUCAGCUGCUGUCAUCACAAUAUAUGUGACUUUACACUUUGUCCUUUCAUCUGCCUUGCAGAUCUGUAUCCGAUCUUAUAGCUGUAGGUUAAUGAAAUAUGUGUCGACAGUGAUGUUGAUAUUUAACAAGAAUAACACCAUAAGCGACUUUCUUUUGCUGCUGAAGCAACAUCAGUAUGAUUAAAUCACACGGGUGAAAUUUACUAUUUAUAAUGCCGCGUGCCAAAAUAUUUUGAACCAUGUUACAACCAGGUUUCUUGCUUUUCACAUC